RNAcentral lists this ribosomal RNA (504 nucleotides) under uncultured bacterium. Its description in RNAcentral is "partial 16S ribosomal RNA". It matches the Rfam family "Bacterial small subunit ribosomal RNA", at positions 28 to 523 of the family's 1533-position model. The record is from RNAcentral.
GAUGAACGCUAGCGGCAGGCCUAAUACAUGCAAGUCGAACGGGAUCUGAGGGUAGCUUGCUACCCGAUUUGAGAGUGGCGCACGGGUGCGUAACGCGUGAGCAACCUACCCAUAUCAGGGGGAUAGCCCGAAGAAAUUCGGAUUAACACCGCAUAAUAAUACGCUAACACAUGUUGAUGUAUUUAAAUAUUUAUAGGGUAUGGAUGGGCUCGCGUGACAUUAGCUAGUUGGUAAGGUAACGGCUUACCAAGGCGACGAUGUCUAGGGGCUCUGAGAGGAGAAUCCCCCACACUGGUACUGAGACACGGACCAGACUCCUACGGGAGGCAGCAGUAAGGAAUAUUGGUCAAUGGGCGCAAGCCUGAACCAGCCAUGCCGCGUGCAGGAUGACUGCCCCAUGGGUUGUAAACUGCUUUUGUUAGGGAAUAAACCUUCUUACGUGUAAGGAGCUGAAUGUACCUAAAGAAUAAGGAUCGGCUAACUCCGUGCCAGCAGCCGCCGUAA